GACGAACGCUGGCGGCGUGCUUAACACAUGCAAGUCGAACGGAAAGGCCCUGCUUUUGUGGGGUGCUCGAGUGGCGAACGGGUGAGUAACACGUGAGUAACCUGCCCUUGACUUUGGGAUAACUUCAGGAAACUGGGGCUAAUACCGGAUAGGAGCUCCUGCUGCAUGGUGGGGGUUGGAAAGUUUCGGCGGUUGGGGAUGGACUCGCGGCUUAUCAGCUUGUUGGUGGGGUAGUGGCUUACCAAGGCUUUGACGGGUAGCCGGCCUGAGGGGGUGACCGGCCACAUUGGGACUGAGAUACGGCCCAGACUCCUACGGGAGGCAGCAGUGGGGAAUAUUGCAAAAUGGGCGGAAGCCUGAUGCAGCAACGCCGCGUGCGGGAUGACGGCCUUCGGGUUGUAAACCGAUUUCGCCUGUGACGAAGCGUGAGUGACGGUAAUGGGUAAAGAAGCACCGGCUAACUACGUG
This 468-nucleotide ribosomal RNA is filed under the name uncultured bacterium. RNAcentral describes it as "partial 16S ribosomal RNA". It matches the Rfam family "Bacterial small subunit ribosomal RNA", at positions 28 to 507 of the family's 1533-position model. The record is from RNAcentral.